Molecule: ribosomal RNA, 309 nt
Filed under: Triticum aestivum (bread wheat)
Lineage: Eukaryota; Viridiplantae; Streptophyta; Magnoliopsida; Poales; Poaceae
Description: partial small subunit ribosomal RNA
Source: RNAcentral
AUGCUGACGUGGCCGCUGGUGUUCGUCCAGUUCAUCGAGGAGAGGCUGGUCACGGACGUUCUCAAGAUUGGCGAGAGGGUGUGGGACGGGCCACGGAGCACAAGGUACGAGGAGCAGCAGACGGUGCCGGCCGCGGCAGUGGCGCGGGCCGUGGCGAGGUUCUUGGAACCCGGGGGAACAGGGGAGGCGGCGAGGGGCCGGGCGCAGGAGCUCGCCCUGAAGGCUCACGCCGCUGUGGCGGAAGGCGGGUCGUCGUAUAAUGAUCUGCACAGGCUUAUCAGCGAUCUGAUGAAAACACGGAAGAUCUAG